This is a non-coding RNA of Pelobates cultripes (western spadefoot toad), 269 nucleotides long. The record is from the annotation of a GenBank genome assembly. NCBI's taxonomy places the organism in Eukaryota, Metazoa, Chordata, Amphibia, Anura, Pelobatidae.
ACAGUGACAGAGUUAGGGAGGGAGUGACUAGUGACAGAGAGAGGGAUGGGGUGACUAGUGACAGAGUGUGGAAGAGGGUGACUAGGGACAGAGGGGGUGAUUAGUGACACAGUGACAGAGUUAGGGAGGGAGUGACUAGUGACAGUCACCCCCUCCCUCCCUCUGUCACUAGUCACUCCCUCCGUCACUAGUCACUCCCUCACUCCGUCACCAGUCAUCCCCUCACUCCGUCACCAGUCACCCCUUCCCUCCCUCACUCUGCCACUAGU